RNAcentral lists this unclassified non-coding RNA (229 nucleotides) under plant metagenome. Its description in RNAcentral is "partial contains small subunit ribosomal RNA, internal transcribed spacer 1, and 5.8S ribosomal RNA". The record is from RNAcentral.
UCUCCGUAGGUGAACCUGCGGAGGGAUCAUUACAGAGUUCAUGCCCUACCGGGUAGAUCUCCCACCCUAUGUUAUUAUUACUUUGUUGCUUUGGCGGGCCGUUGAGCUCCGGCCCGACUACCGGCCCCGGCUGGUAAGCGCCCGCCAGAGGACCCAAAACCCUGAAUAUUAGUGUCGUCUGAGUACUAUAUAAUAGUUAAAACUGUCAACAACGGAUCUCUUGGUUCUG